UACGAAGGGGGCUAGCGUUGUUCGGAAUCACUGGGCGUAAAGCGCACGUAGGCGGACCUUCAAGUCAGGGGUGAAAUCCCGGGGGCUCAACCUCGGAACUGCCUUUGAUACUGUUGGUCUUGAGUCCGGAAGAGGUGGGUGGAAUUCCUAGUGUAGAGGUGAAAUUCGUAGAUAUUAGGAAGAACACCGGUGGCGAAGGCGGCCCACUGGUCCGGUACUGACGCUGAGGUGCGAAAGCGUGGGGGAGCAAACAGG
RNAcentral lists this ribosomal RNA (255 nucleotides) under uncultured bacterium. RNAcentral's name for it is "partial 16S ribosomal RNA". It matches the Rfam family "Bacterial small subunit ribosomal RNA", at positions 524 to 776 of the family's 1533-position model. The record is from RNAcentral.